This 253-nucleotide ribosomal RNA is filed under the name uncultured bacterium. RNAcentral describes it as "partial 16S ribosomal RNA". It matches the Rfam family "Bacterial small subunit ribosomal RNA", at positions 524 to 776 of the family's 1533-position model. The record is from RNAcentral.
UACGAAGGGGGCGAGCGUUGUUCGGAUUUACUGGGCGUAAAGGGCGCGCAGGCGGCUAUCCAAGUCAGGCGUGAAAGCCCCGGGCUUAACCUGGGAGGUGCGUCUGGGACUGGGUGGCUAGAGUUCGGGAGAGGAGAGUGGAAUUCCCAGUGUAGAGGUGAAAUUCGUAGAUAUUGGGAAGAACACCGGUGGCGAAGGCGGCUCUCUGGACCGAGACUGACGCUGAGGCGCGAAAGCGUGGGGAGCGAACAGG